GCCCCGUGUUUCAUUUAGUCUGCGGCCGCCGUUCGUCUGCGCAGCCGCAGAUCUGAACAGUCACGGUGCUUCCCACGUGUGAGCGUUUGCCGUCCGCGGUCUCCCGGCGCGAGCCCAGAAGCGUCUGGUGACCCCUGACUGCUGCUGCCGGAAGCCCACUCGUGGCAGGGCUUGAGUACGUCAUAGUUCUCAGCUGGACUAGGGACGCAGCGCCGGGGGCUUAGGAAGAUACAUUGGAAAUUUCUGGAACCAGGAAGUCCGAAAUGAAGGUGGCAGCAGGAUCACGCUUCCUCUGAAACCCUGGGGGCAGCACCCUCUACUGUGGCGUGUCUUGCAUGGACGUGGUGGCCUUGACCGUGCAGCUCUGGAGUGCCGCGGGAAGCAAUGGACUCAGACCCACCUCCCCCAUCACCCCACGCACAGCAACAGUGUGCACUUUGCACUGGGUCUGCUCGGCUCCGGGUCCGAGUCCAGGGCCCAUCCUCGAACCCCUAAGAUAGAUGGCAGUCCUACUAGCUGGGUGUCAGUGGACACGAACUUGACUGUGGACUAGGUGUGACCUCAGGCCAUCCUGAGUGGGCGUGGAGGCUUCAGAAAUGGUCAUUAAACUAUUUUGCAAAGCUGAA
Long non-coding RNA from Hyaena hyaena (striped hyena), 626 nucleotides. RefSeq lists it as uncharacterized. Lineage: Eukaryota; Metazoa; Chordata; Mammalia; Carnivora; Hyaenidae. The transcript has 4 exons. The record is from RefSeq and is a predicted model, not a curated record.